GCCUAUAAGUAGAGGCAUGAUUUUUCACAAGCUUCAGAUACCGGUUAUGCCGCAAGGCGCUCCCCAUACUGUUAUGCUAAAUGCAACGUCUCAUUCCCUUCUCAGGGAACAGGGUAACCCCGACGUUUUUUCACAUUAUUUAAAAGGAAUUAGAAUUCCUGCAAAUAUCCCCAGUUUAGGCUAAAACUCAUGAGUCAGCCCUAGGUCAAAAGGUCAUCACCCAUCUGGACAGACGAAGUUAAAGAUAAUUAUUGUUGCACGUUCUUAGCUAUAGAUUAAUCAUUGAUUUUGACAAGCCUAGGUCAAAAAGAUCAUCAACAACGCCAUUGGACAGACAAAGUUAAAGAUGCAUAUCAGUAGUAAACUUUAAAUCCGGUUAUUGUGCAUACACAUAUACAUACACACACACAUACGACCCUGUAUAUAAAAGCGAGCACUCCGUUCAAUCAGCAAAGAGUUGAAAGAAUUUCCAGACUCUGGAAAGAAGAUAUAUUUUAAGCAAUUAAAAUAGUUAAUUAUAAAUUGAAAUAGAAUGUUUAUGUAACUAUCCAUUUCAUAUUCAUAUUGAUAUAACCCACUGGCACCCUGUCCAGGGUGUACCCCGCCUUGUGCCUGAUGCUCCCUGGGAUAGGCCCCAGGUUCCCCGUGACCCUGAAAAGGAGUAAGCGGUUGAAGAUGGAUGGAUGGAUGGAUGGAUUGAUAUAACCCUAAAACUAAUCUUUCUGAGUGCAACAAUCAUCAUCCUUAUCUGAUCAUUAUGUAAUCUGUUACGAUACUAUAUCUAAAUUUUAUUCUUCAAUACACUUAUAUUACAGUGCAAGACUGAGCUAAGCUCAUCUGAUUCUAGUGUAUAGGUAAUUAAAAUUUGUCUCUUAGAUCUGUGUAGUGAGCUAAAAGGGAAUUGUUAAGUUAUUAAAAGUAUGUUUUAUUUGCUUUACUGUUUUAAGCCAAUAGUGUCGUGAUUAUUUCCGAUGAUGAAUUUUCCGAGACAUCUGAUCGAGGCCUUUUGAAUCUGACCUCUGCUCAUAAGUCAUAACAUUAAAUAUGAAUGUUUCAUGAUGUAAAGUCUUUCAUACGUAUAUAUAUUUUUGUUUGUAUCAAACGAAUGCGUUUCUAUUAGAUAAUUAAAAUUUGUCUCUUAGAUCUGUGUAGCGAGCUAAAAGGGGGACUGUUACAUUACCAAUAGUAAAUUUUAUUUGUUUUACUGUUUUUAGACAACAGUUUUGUGAAUGUUUCUGAUGAUGAGAUUCCCGAAACAAACGCACAAGACCUUUUGAAUCUGAGCUCCACACAAGUUAAGGACGUUGUGACUAUCAGUGCUUACGACGGAGAUAUUUCAGAUACGAGUGAUGCAAUAGAAGAGGAAGAGGAAUUCAACUUGGAAGCCGACAUUCAACCCGACCUCGAAUUACAGGAGAUCUGCACAGCGUGGCGUGAAUUCUUUGAAGCAAAGACUGCUUUAUUGGAAAACUUUGGACAGAUUGAUAAUACACUUGAAUCUUACUGGAAUUUUUUGUUUAGGUAAUUUUGUUGGCAGCUUACUCUCCGAGUUGUUUUCACAUUGUGGACAACUUUUGGUUUUUGUGGGAAAACACUGCUGUCUCCUUUGUUUUAUGGAGACUUUGGGUGUGUUUGUGUUUGGGUGUGUUUGGGGGAUUGUUGGGGGGAGGGGGAGGGGGAGGAGGUCCCACUUCGGCUCUAAUUGGCUAUUUAUAUUCCUAUGGUUUACUUUAUUUAAAUAGUUAGUAGUACUAUGGAUCCCAGCAUAGCUGUGACAGGCACACCUUUAAGAUUUAUUAGUUGGAACGUCAGAGGUAUGGGUAAUCCUGUCAAGAGAUCUAAGGUUUUUACACAUUUGAAACGUUUAAACUCCGAUAUAGUAUUUUUACAGGAGACUCACCUACGUAUUAAAGAUCAUCAUAGGUUACACUGCCCUUGGAUGAGUCAAGUCUUCCACUCAAACUUUAAUUCGAAGGCAAGAGGGGUCGUUAUUUUAGUUGACAAAAGGUCACAGUUUUCCUCCACUAACGUUAUUGCAGAUGUGAACGGUAGAUACAUUAUAGUUGCUGGUACUCUAAUGCAAAGACAGGUGUUGUUGGUAAAUGUAUAUGCUCCAAAUUUUGAUGACGUGGAAUUUGCUAAUAGAUUGUUGAGCAACCUCCCUUUCUUAAAUACUCACCUGUUGAUUUUCGGGGGAGAUUUAAACUGUGUUUUUGACCCAAACUUGGAUCGGUAUAAUCCUCGUUCUCUGAAUCAAUCUGCUAUGUUUAAAACAUUUUCCAAUUUUAUGUGUCAAAACAGUCUUGUUGAUCCCUGGAGAUCCCGUAAGCCCUCUCUUAAAAAGUUUUCUUUCUUCUCCCAGCUGCAUCAUUCCUAUUCAAGGAUCAAUUUUUUAUUUUUUUUUAUAGACAGCACUCUUGAUUCUUGUGUAGUUUCUUCUGACUAUUUGGGUAUAUUAAUUUCUGAUCACACGCCUCUACAAUUAGAUAUUCAUCUUUCUAUUUAUAAACGUAACCCACCUCCUUGGAGAUUUAAUUCUCUUCUUUUGGCAGACAGUGAAUUCUGUGUGUUCAUUUCUACUUCUAUGAUGACUUUCUUUUCUUAAAUCAAAAUGACUCCACCUCUUAUUCAUUGUUAUGGGAGACACUUAAAUCCUAUAUCAGAGGGCAGAUUAUUUCUUACUCUGCUCUCUGUAAUAAAAAACGCACUGCUAGGGUUAAUGAACUUACAUCUGCUAUCAUUAACCUUGAUCAGAGAUGUGCAUUGAACCCCACUCCAGAACUUCUUAAACAGUGUCUCGACUUGCAGGCAGAAUUUAAUUUUAUUUCAACUAAAGAGGCGGAACGCUUGUUGUUACGUACUUGUGGUUCAUAUUAUGAACAUGGCGACGAGCCGAGUCGUUUACUGGCACAUCAGCUACGGUGACAGGCCACUUCCCGUCUCAUACUUUGUAUUAAAAACACUUAUAAUAUUGUCACUACAGAUCCCAUGGAAAUUAAUGCUACUUUUAAAUCGUUUUACUCUUCGCUUUAUAAAUCCGAAUUUCCUACAGACAAUACUAAAGUGAAUGCAUUUCCUCAAAACCUUUGUAACCCUGUUAUUGAUUCGAAUAUUGCCAUGCAACUGGACUCCCCAUUCUCUCUUGAAGAAAUUUUAAUUUCAGUUAAAACUAUGCAAUCUAACAAAGCUCCUGGCCCGGAUGGGUUUCCAAUUGAAUUUUUUAAAACGUUUAUUGGAAAAUUAGCUCCAUUGCUUUUGGAUAUGUUCAACGAAUCCUUGGAAUGUGGGUCUUUGCCUCCAACUCUGACACAUAGAUAGAUCUUGAUAGAUCUCCUUCUUAAAUAGAGUAAGGAUCCAUCCUCCUGCGGUUCUUAUAGACCGCUGUCUCUGCUUAAUGCAGAUGUAAAGGUGUUGGCGAAAGUAAUGGCAUCUCGUUUAGAGAAUGUACUCCCUUAUAUUAUAUUUGAAGAGCAGAACGGUUUUAUAAAGGGACGUCAAUUGUUUUUCAAUACCUGUACGCUCUUUAAUAUAAUUUAUUCAAAGCAUUCAACUGAGCUUCCUGAGAUUGUGAUUUUUUAGAUGCUGAAAAAGCAUUUGAUAAGGUUGAGUGGGAGUAUUUGUUUGCAGUCUUGAGGAAGUUCGGAUUUGGGGAUAAGUUUAUUUCUUGGAUUAGCCUCCUUUACUCAUCCCCUAAUGCCAGGGUUCAGACAAACGAUAUUUAUUCUGAUUAUUUUGCUCUCGGAUGUGGGUGCCGCCAAGGCUGUCCUUCAUCACCUCUGCUUUUUGCUGUCGCUAUUGAGCCUCUGUCUAUCACAUUAAGAUCUUCUCCCUUGUUUAAAGGAAUAGUUUGAUGUGGUGUAGAAUACAAAUUGUCAUCAUAUGCUUAUGAUUUGUUAUUGUAUGUAACCGAUCCUAUUGCCUCUAUGCCUGCUGUCUUGGGUGUUCUGGAGUCCUUUGGUGUUGUCUCUGGUUAUAAAUUAAAUUUGGACAAAAGCGACUGUUUUCCAGUCAAUACUGCAGCAUUUUCUCUAGAACAGUAAGAUCGACAUUUUCGAUUUAGUCAGUCAGGGUUUAAAUACCUAGGUAUCAACGUGACAUGUUCAUUAUCUAAUCUUCUUUCAGCUAAUUUCACUCCCCUUAUCUCAAAGGUUAAAUCUAACAUUCAGAGUUGAGUAACUUACCCCUUUCUCUAAUUGGCAGGAUCAAUGACGUCAAAAUGAAUAUAUUACCCAAGUUUUUUUUCUUGUUCCACAAGUGCCUCUUUCUCUGCCAAAAUCGUUCUUCGAUUCAUUAGAUAAGAUAAUUAGUACUUUUAUUUGGGGUGGGAAGCCACCAGGGGUUCGUAAAUCUUUAUUGCAGAAAUGUAGACUUAGUGGAGGACUUGCAUUACCCAAUUUUCAAUUCUAUUACUGGGCUGCGCACAUCUAUAAACUUUGCUACUGGGUUAAAUCUCCUGGAUCUUCUUGGUCUAAAUUGGAACUAUCUUCUUGUAGGGAAUCCUCUUUACCUGCUUUACUUUGUUUCUCUGUACCUACAAAACUCUCCCUAUAUACUGAUAAUCUAGAUGUCCUCAAUACACUUAAGACUUGGUAUCAAUUUAGACGGCGCUUUAAAUUUGUAGGUGCAUCCUCUUUGGGUCCUUUAAUCAACAACCAUCUAUUUCCUCCAUAGUGUUUGGACUCCACAUUUUCAGUGUGGUAUGACAAGGGUAUUAAACAAGGUAGAAAUCUGUAUGCCGAUGGUGUGUUUGAUAGCUUUGCCAAUCUGUCAUCUACUUAUGACCUCCCUGUGACACAUCUCUUUCGGUAUUUUCAAUUCGGAAUUUCGUUUCUAGAUGUUUUCCUAAUUUCCCCUCUGCGCAUCCUGAACAGGCUUGAUAAAGCUUGUUUUCAAACAAUCCACAUCAGAGAGGAAUGAUUUCUAGGAUUUAUGAUUUUAUUCUGGUGCUAGGUAGUGAGUCAAGUACCAAAAUUAGGAAUGCGUGGGAAACGGAGUUAGGAGCGCAGAUAAGUGAGGAGUGUUGGGAACAUGCUAUAGGGAGGGUACAGUCUACCACUUCCUGUGCUUGUCUUGGACUUAUACAGUUCACAGUUUUACACAGAGUCCAUCUGUCCAAGUUGAGACUUUCUGUAAUAUAUCCGGAGGUAGAGGACAAGUGUGAUAAAUGCCAUGGGUCUCCCUGCCAUCUUGGCCAUAUGUUUUUCUUCUGCCCUGAUCUCCAUGGUUUUUGGUCUGUUUUUUUUUUAUCAUCAUGUCCACUAUUAUCAGGGAAGAUUUAAAGCCUUGCCAAUUUAUUGCUGUAUUUGGGAUUCCUGACGCCUUAGUUCCAUUCAGCUUGAUACAAAAGGAUGUUAUCGCUUUCACAUCCCUUAAAGCAAGACGUUCCCAGUGGCUAAAGGAUGUGAUGUUUUUUCUAAAACUCGAGGAAAUAAGGUAUAUGAUCAGGGGUUGUACAGACAAGUUGUUUUUUAUUAUAAAUGGCAUCCCUUUAUUGUAUACUUUAUGGAGUUACAGACACUUCCCACUUAAAUUUUUGUGCCUGUUGUUGGGUUUUACAAUAUCUAUAUAACCAGCGACAGUUAUUGGGUAGCCAUGAUGAACCGGGGGUGCGGGGGGCGGGUUUGUUUUCUGAGUUUGUACUUUUAAUUUUGGUUUCCUUUGUUAGUAUAAAAAGAAAAAAAAACUGUGAAUGAUUUCUGCUGUGUGUUACUCGGUUUGUUUUUUCUUCUCAAUGAAAUAUUUGGGAAAAGGAACGGAGAAAAAAAAGAAAUGUUCAGCAGAAAUGUUCAGCAGAAAUGUCCAAUAGAAAUGUUCAGCAGAAAUGUUCAGCAGAAAUGUCCAGUAGAAAUGUUCAGCAGAAAUGUUCAGCAGAAAUGUUCACUAGAAAUGUUCAGCAGAAAUGUCCAGCAGAAAUGUUCAAUAGAAAUGUUCUGCAGAAAUGUUCAGUAGAAAUGUUCAGCAGAAAUGUUCAGUAGAAAUGUUCAGCAGAAAUGUUCAGCAGAAACAUUCAGUAGAAACGAUCAGUAGAAAUGUUCAGCAGAAAUGUUCAGCAGAAAUGUUCAGCAGAAAUGUUCAGAAGAAAUGUUUAGCAGGAAUGUUCAGUAGAAAUGUUCAGCAGAAAUGUUCAGUAGAACUGUUCACUAGAAAUGUUCAGAAGAAAUGUUCAGCAGGAAUGUUGAGUAGAAAUUUUCAGUUGAAAUGUUCAAUAGAAAUGAAACUGUAGAUUGUUUGUUUGAGCUGAAAUAAAAAAAAA
Ictalurus punctatus (channel catfish) is the source of this 6253-nucleotide long non-coding RNA. RefSeq lists it as uncharacterized. The transcript is spliced from 3 exons. The record is from RefSeq and is a predicted model, not a curated record. NCBI's taxonomy places the organism in Eukaryota, Metazoa, Chordata, Actinopteri, Siluriformes, Ictaluridae.